This 508-nucleotide ribosomal RNA is filed under the name uncultured bacterium. RNAcentral describes it as "partial 16S ribosomal RNA". It matches the Rfam family "Bacterial small subunit ribosomal RNA", at positions 28 to 507 of the family's 1533-position model. The record is from RNAcentral.
GACGAACGCUGGCGGCGUGCCUAAUACAUGCAAGUCGAACGCUUCUUUCCUCCCGAGUGCUUGCACUCAAUUGGAAAGAGGAGUGGCGGACGGGUGAGUAACACGUGGGUAACCUACCCAUCAGAGGGGGAUAACACUUGGAAACAGGUGCUAAUACCGCAUAACAGUUUAUGCCGCAUGGCAUAAGAGUGAAAGGCGCUUUCGGGUGUCGCUGAUGGAUGGACCCGCGGUGCAUUAGCUAGUUGGUGAGGUAACGGCUCACCAAGGCCACGAUGCAUAGCCGACCUGAGAGGGUGAUCGGCAACACUGGGACUGAGACACGGCCCAGACUCCUACGGGAGGCAGCAGUAGGGAAUCUUCGGCAAUGGACGAAAGUCUGACCGAGCAACGCCGCGUGAGUGAAGAAGGUUUUCGGAUCGUAAAACUCUGUUGUUAGAGAAGAACAAGGACGUUAGUAACUGAACGUCCCCUGACGGUAUCUAACCAGAAAGCCACGGCUAACUACGUG